RNAcentral lists this long non-coding RNA (1707 nucleotides) under Mus musculus (house mouse). Its description in RNAcentral is "long non-coding RNA chr7:127506330-127508037". Lineage: Eukaryota; Metazoa; Chordata; Mammalia; Rodentia; Muridae. The record is from RNAcentral.
GCUCAAGGGAGUCUUCAGCUUCAAAGUAAGCAAGUUUGACACCAGCCUGGGGUACAAGAAGAGGAAGGGGAAAAAGAGAAGAGGAGGUAGAAAAGGAGAGAAGAGAAGAGAAGCUGCUGCUGGUCAGCGUGAGACAAGGAGCUUUCCAACACUUGGAGCAUGGUUAACUGCCCCAAAUAGUAUGACUCCAGGCUGAUGCUGAACAACUACAACUACUUCCUUUUAUGGAACUAGAUAUGAGUGUCUUACUAGGUUUUUAGGUGCCCAGAUCUAACCCAUCUCAUCAUCUCACUUGUUUUCAAUCUUGCUAUGUCUGCCACUCCCACCCCCUUCCUGAUAUUUGCAUGAGUGUCCUCAAAGAUGCAUGAGAAGUAGGGGCCAAUCUUCCUCUGUUGCUGUCCACCAUGUUUUUAAAAGGUUAUUUUUAUAUGUAUGCGUAUUUUGCCAACAUAUAUAUUGUAUACCACAUACCUGCUUGGUGCCCACAGAGGCCAGAAGAGGAAAUCAGAUCCCAAGACUAGAGUUACAAAACCUUGGGUCCCCUAGAAGAGCAAUCAGUGCUUUUAAUCAUUCCCAGCCUCUCUACCUUAUUUUUUUCAGAUGGCCUCUGGCUGAACUGGGAAUUGACCCUUUGUGCGAGGCUGGCUUGCCUGUCCCUGGGAUCUACCUGUGUCCACACACCAGCAAUGAAUGGGGUUACAGACAUUUAUCAUUUCAUCAGGUUUUUUAUACAGAUGCUGGGGGUUCAAACUCAGGUCCCUUAUGUUUUCAUAGCAAGCACAAUACCCACUAAUAGUUCUCCCUAGCCCUAUUUUUCAAGUAUGUUUGUCCAAGGUUUUGGGGUUUUUUUUUUGUUUGUUUUGUUUUGUUGUUUUUGUUUUUUUUUUUUUCCUCCCAAGACAAGGUUUCUCUGUGUAGCCCUGGCUGUCCUGGAACUUGCUUUGUAAUCCAGGCUAGCCUUGAACUCAAGAGCUUUGCCUGUCUCUGCUUCCCAAAUGCUGAGAUUAAAGGUGUGCACAAUCAGUACCACUCAGGCUCUUUGUCCAGAUUUUUUUUGAGACAGUUUUGAUAUGUGGUCCUAGCUAGGUUGGUCUCUGCAGAUGAUUCUCCAGUUCCCACUGGAGUGUUGCAAGAUUACAGGUUUGCCUCAACACUACCUCACACACCUGGCUUGUCCUUUUUUCUAUUGUGUUGGCUUCAAAUUUUUCAUCCUCCUUCAAUCUCUAGAGUGCUGGGAUUACAGACACCUGCCAUCACACCAAGCUUUUCCCUACUUCAGAGCUAGGCUUUGAAUGAACAGGAGUGCUUUCAGUGAUGCAGAUACAUGUAGAUACCUUUAACAACAACAACAACCAAACAAACAAACCUGGGCCUAUUGUAAUCAGCCAAGGACGUUUAGAAUGUUAAGAGGAGAGAGACUGUCCGAGUGUGUAAUGACUUGGUCCUCUGCAUGCAUGUGAACACAGGUGCAAGUGCACUCACAUGUCUACCCAGCGACACAGGAACAUGGACAUACAUACACAUAUAGACACCCCACAUACACAGAGAGAGAGACAGAGCAUUUUAAAAGGAAGCAGAUAAAUAUCUUUUUUACUUUUGAGAAAAGAAUUUCCCAAUAUGAAUAGUUAGAUGUAAAAUAGUUAACUAAGGAUAAAACUCAGAGCACUGGCCCAACCUGGUAUAAGCCCUGGGUGAAAUCCAACAUUG